This 236-nucleotide ribosomal RNA is filed under the name uncultured bacterium. RNAcentral's name for it is "partial 16S ribosomal RNA". It matches the Rfam family "Bacterial small subunit ribosomal RNA", at positions 118 to 351 of the family's 1533-position model. The record is from RNAcentral.
UGAGGAACAUGACCUUCGGCGGGGGAGUAGCCGGCCCAACGGCCGGGUAAUACCGCGUACGACCUCUCGGGGACAUCCCCGGUUGGUGAAAGCAGCAAUGCACCGAAAGAGUGCCUCGCGGCCUAUCAGCUAGUUGGUGGGGUAACGGCUCACCAAGGCGACGACGGGUAGCUGGUCUGAGAGGAUGGCCAGCCACAUUGGGACUGAGACACGGCCCAGACUCCUACGGGGAGCAG